CCUACGGGAGGCAGCAGUGGGGAAUAUUGGGCAAUGGGCGAAAGCCUGACCCAGCAAUGCCGCGUGAGGGAUGAAGGUCUUCGGAUUGUAAACCUCUGUCCUUGGUGACGAAGGAAGUGACGGUAGCCAAGGAGGAAGCCCCGGCUAACUACGUGCCAGCAGCCGCGGUAAU
RNAcentral lists this ribosomal RNA (172 nucleotides) under uncultured bacterium. RNAcentral's name for it is "partial 16S ribosomal RNA". It matches the Rfam family "Bacterial small subunit ribosomal RNA", at positions 338 to 524 of the family's 1533-position model. The record is from RNAcentral.